Oryctolagus cuniculus (rabbit) is the source of this 3902-nucleotide long non-coding RNA. RefSeq lists it as uncharacterized. Lineage: Eukaryota; Metazoa; Chordata; Mammalia; Lagomorpha; Leporidae. The record is from RefSeq and is a predicted model, not a curated record.
CUCGCGAGAAUUCGGCCCGUGGGGCUGCGAGCGCCGAGCCCGGCGCUUAGGGCGUCCGGGUGGUUGUCGCUCGCACACUUUUAAUCACCUGGGUGUCUACUCUGCCCCGGGAUGUACAGAAUGGUCGAGGAGCCCUGCAAACGCCUUUCGUUAGAGAAAAGAAGGACCUUGCAUCUCAAGGCUCCCUCUGUCGGCAGGGAAAAGGCCAGGCCCCAGCGUCUCCAUGCCCCGCUCUCCCGAGUGCCUGCGCAUCAGGAAGCGGCGCCAGCAGAAAGGCCCUUGGCUGGCCCCGCCGUCCAUACGCUUCUUUCCAGUCAGUCCAGCUUCCGAACGUCCUGUCCUCUUCAAACACCCCAGCCUCUUGCUGGAGGAGAGAGCACCGUGGGAUCCCGCCCGGCCUCCGCCCUCGGGCAGGGCUGUGGCCCGUCCAGUCAGAAGGGCCAGCGUAGUAUUUACCCUCCUCCCCACCUUCCUCACGAUCCCGCCGGGAGGGACCUCGGGGCCCAUCUUCCACUGGGAGAGGCAACACUCCUCGCCCCAGUGAAGUGGCGGCAUCCCCGGCCGCGUCCCCCAGCUCCAUCCCCGCCCCCUUCCAGGGAGCGUCCUUCUCCAACGGGGCCAGGUUCCUGCGAUGGACGGACGUUCUGCUUUGAAAAUGAGCGAACUUUAAUCUCCUGUAGCUACAGAGAGCGUUGUGCUACGUGUUAGGUUAAGCAGAUUUCGCAACAGUCGUUUUUCCAAACGUUAGUGCUUCCAUUACGAAGGCAAUGAUGGAUGCAGGAUUGUCAGAGCGCGCUGGGCGAACGCAAUCCUGCCGGAUUCCCAACACCCACAGCGUCAGCCACCUGCACCUGGGAUCUCCAGACUUCUUUUAGACCUUCGCCUCUGUUACAAAGGCAGAAAAAGGUAUCCACCUGUUGACCUCAGCUGUGCACUCCUGCUGUGUGCAGCACUUUGUAAAAUGUAAACGGACUAGAGAACAUCAUCGUGCCUCUGACCUUUCUAAGAUGUCUGACCGAGGAGUUGUGCCAAGAGGAGGAGAACCGUGUCCCUGUGCUUGCACACAGGGUGGCUUGCUCGCCUAGGGCACUGACUGUGGAGCACCUGCCUGGUAGGAGUGCUGCUCUGCCUGUGACCAGCAGCUUCAACCAGCUACACCCAGCUUCUUCACGCUUCACUCCCAGGGCUUUGGGGAAUAACUGAGGUUGUAACGUGGGCAACUGUUCUCCCCCUCUGAAGGACAGGGCGUCGAGGCUGCGCAGUUGCUGAGAGGCAGAGCUCCAUCCGAGCCCACAGUAAUUCCCAGAAUGAUGCUGCUUCUCUGGGCUGGUGCAUAUUACUGAGAAACCACCAUGCAUCACAUCGGAAGUCCUCAUUCCAGCUUGGCAGAGUUUCUGCUAUCUCAAGAGAAGAUUGAAGGAUUUAAUCAAGCUUCAUAAGCCAAACCAUCUGAAGUCACAGUGAUUCUCAACCCCAAGUUUGACAAGCUCUUCAAGUUUCGACAAAGAUUUCAAGAGGUAUCAUGACAUCAUCAGGACAACAUUCUCAAAUAAUAAAAUUUAAUUUUAAAAGAUCCUCACGUGUUGUACUGUUGUUUAGGAAGGCAGGAAUGCCAUGGAGGUGGUUUAGGGCAAAGCUUGGUAGGUUCAGCAGCACUGAAAGGGGGCAGUGUGAAGGGCAGAGCUGAAGAAGUUAGAGUACCCUGGCUACAGCUGUGCCAUUUUGGGUCAGCCGGCCUUCCUGAGCCUCAGUUUCUCAUGCAACUACUGCAGGGCUAGAGCGACAAUCCAAGCACCUACUUAGGUUAGUGACUGCCCCGCCAAGGCCACCUGGAGCCUGCUGGGAAACUCCAAGCUGACAUUUACUGUGUGUGGUGGGACGUUCUCUUGGUGUCUCCUGAGACAGAAACUAUCCAGCCCAGGGCCUGCCUGAACAGUGCCCUGCUGACCUGCUCCAAAACACAGAACAAAGAAUGAUGUGAAGGGCGUGUUUUAAAGAGGUGAUUAACCUGCCCCCAGAAGGGAGGAAUGUUUUAGGGCAAACUAGUUCCCAGAUCCAGCCUGGAAAUACCCGUGCUUCCCAUCCAUCUGCAUGCUGUGACCUGUCCUGCCUGUCCAUGUGUCUCCUCUGUCCUUCAAAAAUGGGAAUCUGGCCACACACUGCUCCCUUCCCUCUGCUUCCACUGAGUCCUGAUGUGUUCUGACUCCAUGUCCCACAACUUCCAGUUAGCUUCCUUAUCUGCUUUCCUGGCCUUUAGAGUGCAUGAAUAUCCAGAGUGUUGAUCAUUCCAAGCACUGACAAACUCCUUCAUUUAAGUCAGAUUCCUGAGGCCCACCACAUGCUAGGAAGAGCCCUGAGCUGGGCAUCGGGAGACCUGGGUUCUAGUCUUGGCUGGGGCAUUCACUGACAAAUUACCCAAUGUGGUAACUGUGAUAUAGUGAAUGUCUUUUUGACUCUGUUCCUGGCUAAUGCCACGGUGCUCUUGAAACCCUUGUGAUUUCUUGAGUAGGAGGGAUACUAAGUGUAUCUUUUUGUUCUAAUGUUUGGUCUUUGACUCCAGUGUCUUUCACAAAGUUCCUAAUCCCUUGGACUGUCCCAGGUGAUGGGAGCUGUCUUUUUCUAUUGCAAUGACUCUUGGUGGGCUACUGGCUGGCACUGGUCACCAGACAGACCAACCACAAUUAGAAGCUAGAACUUUGGGCCACUUACAUAAUGAUCGGUGGUGUCUAUGUAAUGGAGCCUCUCUGAGGGCCCCUGAACUACUGGGUUGGCACCUGGAGUAGGCAGGAUUUCUGAGCCCUUUCCUCGCUUCCUCUUACCAGCCCUAUGCAUUGCCUCAUCUGAUUGCUAAUCCAUCUCCUUUAUCAGAUUAUUUGUUAACAUCACAAUUCAGUAAGUCGAUGUGUUUCCCUGAGUUCUGGGAACCCUCUGAGACAAUUAAUCAAACCUAGGAAGGGGUCACAGGAGCUCCCACUGUAGGGCCAGUGGGUCAGAAGUACAGAUGACGGUCCAGAACUUGCAAGUGGCGUCCGCAGUGGAGGAAGUCUCAGGGAGUGAGCCUCUGUAGGGCCUGGCACGGUUUCCAGGUAGACGGCGUCAGAAUAGAGUUGACUUUGAGGACACCCGGCUGAUGUGUGAUGCAGAACUCUUCAGUGUGUAGGGAGGAUAAUCCACCUUCUGGCCACAGACAUGUUUUGUUAUGCUGGGGGUUCAGCAGUGUGUGGGAGUAGGAAGAGCAGUCUGAGUUUCCCAUACCUUAUAGUCAACCUCUGGGCCUUGACCUCUGCACAUCCAACAUUAGGGAAGAAAGUGUGAGUGGGCGGGCACAGUCUCCCUUGUCCCAGCAUUCUGUGACUUGGUGAGGCCUGAGUAUUGAGUUUGUUUAAAAAAAGAGAAUGUUAUAAGAAAUCCAAAAGCCUGGAGAGAAGGAGAAGGUGAGCCAGCGUGAGACGAGAACAUCACCAAUCCCCAAUCCUAAGUGAAUCUGCUGCAGAAUGGGAGAAUGGAGUCUUGCUAUGAAGCCCCUGAAAUGAGAAAGCUCUUCCAGACACCCCACAUGGGGCUGUAACUCACUCAAAAUUGCACUGAGGCUAUAAACUGCAAAGAGCUCCUCUUGAAGAAUUUAUGAGGGGUCUGAAAGCUGUAUAUUUGCUCUCGAGACAUCUAUUGUUUGUUUAUAAUGUGUGCAUGUUUAAUUUGCUAUAAAAUCAGGAGGCAGUACUAUACAAACAAGCAACUCAUCCACCCUCGAGUGCUGUCUUGGAAGGGGGAGGAUGGGAGAAGGGAAUUCACGGAGAAUUUAUCACUUUGCCCUGUGAGUGGAGGAAUUUGGAGUUGUUGCUUCACUGCUAAAGGCUGUCUUGUUGGGCUUGUUGGAGAGGUGACUCUGGUGGGCUAGGGGG